ACAAAAUUACCCAUUUGAAGCGCAAGGUGCGGAUCCGGGCUAUGUUGCGGGUUGACGCGCGGAUCCCCCCUUUUCAAACGGUGCCAUUUUAUUCUCAUAAAUAAAGAGAAACAAAAACCCUAAAACACUUAUUCAGCCUACUAUUCUUUCAAAAAGAAAGAAAGAAAAACUUAAAACCUUUCUCACCAAACUCUUUUAACCUCUCCUCUCUCUCAGUCGAUCCAUGGGCUUCAUCGGCCACUAAUGCACCUCCACCACCGCCACGAUUUUAACCAGAUCCACAAGGAUCUGUCAACCCUUGGAUCGGAGGAGCCAACAUCGACUAAAUCGACACCAAAAACAGUAAGUAAACCCUCAUUUUUUUAGAUUCGUCGAAUAGAUUCAAAAUAAAGGAAAAAAAAACAAAGAAAUAAUCCAUGAAUCACCUUUUGUAAACUGUUUUUGAAUUAAUUUCUCUUCUUUCAAUAUAUGCGUGUAUCCCCCCCUCCCGUUUACAAUAUACCAUCGGCCCCUUUUAUAACCAAAUAAUCAAAAAAAAUUAAUACAAAUUUCUUUUAUUUUUUUUGUUAUUGCUUUGAUGUGUUUUUUUGUUGUGGUUGUUAGUUUAUUGCAGGAGGAGCCAGCUGGAGGUGGUGGAGCACGUGGAGACCGAUUCCUUGCGAGGCUGCGGCGCAAAUUGGUCUCAGGGUUUCAGCUCUUGGAGCCGAAGUUUGGGCCAUCUGGGCUGUUUUAAGAGUGGGCUGGGAUUUGGGUUAUUUGUUUGGGUCAGUUUUUAUUUUUGGUUUGGGCUUCAAAAUUUGUAUUUGGACUUUAAGCAUUGGGUCUCUUAUGGCCCGGGCAAAAUGGACCUAUUACAUAAACAAUGUAUAUAUAUGGACUCAUGAGUAAGUUUAAUUAUAAAAAUUAAAUUUAAAAUAAUUGCUCAAUAUAAAUUGUGAUUUUUUUGAAGACAUAGAUUAUGAAAUUUAAGUUGUCAAUAUGUGAAUUGAAUUUUUUCUAAAAAUGUAUUCCUUAAAAAUUAUAAAGUGACUGAUUUAUAUGAAAAGUACGAAUCUAAAGCCUAUAUCUAAUAUAAUAAAGAAACAAAAUUAAAAAAUAUAUAUUAUUUUUAAAAUAAUUAAUUUCCACGUUGCAUACUAACUAAAAUCUAUAUUUCACAUACUCAAAAUAUAAUUUAAAUUUUUUUUUCUAAAUGUAUAUUUAAAAUAGUUGAGCCGCACUUUAAUUUGAAGGUCUAUAAUUUACUCUGAAAAAAGUUAUGAUUUAAGGAUAAUGUUCUUUCUUUUUUCUUGCACAACUUCUAGUUGUAUCUUUUAUCUGCUAUGAUUUAGAGUUACAUGUUGGAAGUCAGAGUUCAACAAUUGUCACAAAAUCUAGAGCUGAUUUAAUUUUUUUAUUUAAAUAUUGCUGAAUGAUUAAAUCGAAAACCGAUGGGUUGGUCAGUUUAAUCAUCAAUCUAGAUGUUACAAGAUUUGUGAAUUUUUUUUAUUUAGUCUAUAACAUCCCCACCUUAAAAAAAAGAGAAGAAGAAUAUUUAUGGUAAAAGUCAUUGAAUAAGUAAACUAUAGCAUGUAGUUAACUUAAAAAUUCGGCAUCGAGUUCAACGACUAAAUUGAAUAAAUUGAAAAAGUAAAGAGGCUAAAGUGCAAUUAUCCUAUUUUUUUAUUUUGAUGGAAAGAAUUUAAUGACAAUUUUACCAUUACUUAAAAAAUCAAUGGUUUCUUUUAAAUGAUUUUAUAGUAAAUAAAAUAAUAUUUUAAUAAGUAAUAAUACUUUUGAUAAACCAUAAUUUAUACAUAUUUUUACCCCAUGCUUAGCACAUUUUAUGGAUGAUUUCUCUUUAAAUAUAGGGAAUUCGAUGCUCAUAAUCCUUUAAUUUCAUGUUUUAUACUUAGGUGAGCAUAGAAGAGUAAAAAGACCGAGAAAUGCGCCAAAAACAAAGAAGGGCCAAUAUAGGAAAAUAGCACGGCCUAGAGUUCACCACACGGGUAGACCACACGCCCGUAUAGGUUCAACAGGCUUUAGCACGGCCUAAACCUCCGCACACGGGUUGACUACACGGCCGUGUCAAAUUGGUAAGAUCGAAGAACGACUUACACGGGUAGAUCACACGCCCAUGCCCAUUUAACAGCCUUGACCACGGCCUUAAGUAAUCGCACACGGGCGUGCCACACGGGUGUGUCCCUGCCGAGCCCAAGGUUAGUCCAAUUCAGAAAAGGGCACUUUUGAGGGCUUCUAAGCAUCUUAAAGCCUAUAAAAACACUCUAGAGGAGGAGGAGAAAGAGGGACGCGGAGUAGGAAGCAAGGAAUUACUCAAAGAAAGCCGAUUGAUCCAUCUCAGAAGCCGGAUUCAUCAUCAAGACUGAAGAUCUCCCUUCAAAUUUCUCUCAGGAGUUUUGGGUUUUCUUAUGUUUUGUUAUCUUUAUGCUUUUGAGAUGUUUUCUUUCAUAAGUAUGAACUAAAACCCCUAAAUACCUAAGAGGAAUGAAACCUAAGACCGAUCUUGUUAUUAUUAUCUGAAUUGUAUGAUAAAUAUUUGACUUGUUCUUAAUUAUAUGUUCUUAAUUCUUAUUUUGAUAUUCCAGGAUAUUGAUUCAAGUUAAUGCUUUUAUUCAGAGGAUGAAGAGAUCCUGUCUAAGAGUAAAUUCAUCGUAAUUAAGCGGAGUUUAUUGCGCGCCUAGAGAUAGGGUGACAAGAUUUUGUCUGAUUAGGGUGAAAACUAAUAAGGGAAUCUAUAGAUCGAGUUAAUGCAAUUCUAGGAAGUUAAUUAGAAAGAGAUUUCAAUUAUUCAACCUAGGGUUAAACGUUAUUAGUCUCGAGAGAGAUAAUAAUAUAACUUAGGGAUUUCUACAGAUCAAGUCCAAUGAAUAAAUAGUCUGAUUUAGAGUCAAAUAACAAGUGAAGUCUAGAUGGAUUUUUCCUUAGGUAUUGCCUUAAUCAAUAGAAUUUUUCCCAAAAGUAUUUUCCCAAGUUUUCUUUUUGUGCAUUAUUAGUUUAGUAAUUAGUUUAGAUAACCAAACCUCUUAAUUUUUUAGGCUAGAUAAUAAAAAGAAGGUAAAUACUAGUACUCGUAGUUCCUUUGGGUUCGACAAUCCGGUCUUGCUGAACUAUACUACUGUUCGAUAGGUGCACUUGCCUUAGUCAUGAUAAUAAGUUAGUCUCAAGAAUGAUUCAUUCAUAAAUCUUUAAAACCUGUCGCGAAUAUUACGUAUCAAGUUUUUGGCGUCGUUGCCGGGGAACUAAGAUAUUAGGAACACUCGAUUUUUAUUACUUUAGCCAUUUUACUUUUAUUGCAAUUUAAAUUUUUAUUUUCUUUUUUAAUUCUUCGUUUAUUUUCUUCUGACAUGUUUUUCUAGUUUAUGUCCAGAAGAAACCCGUCAAGACCACUACUUUUUGACGGUGAGAUCGACCGCACAGUUCAUAAAAACCAAAGGGAAAGAAGGCGAAGCCUAAGAUACACAGAGGACGAGGAAGAGGACGAUUCUUUAACCACAACCGAGGAGAUGGCUGAAAACCAAGAAAAUUCUCUACCUCCUGCAAUUGCUGGUGAUCCAGUAAAUCAAAAUCCUACUCCACGCACUAUGUAUGAUUAUGCUAAACCUAAUUUAACAGGAACUGAAUCAAGCAUAGUUAGGCCUGCUGUUGCUACAAAUAAUUUUGAACUGAAACCUAACACAAUUCAAAUGAUACAACAAUUUGUUCAAUUUGAUGGUUUGCAGGAUGAUGAUACAAAUGCUCACUUGGCAAAUUUCUUAGAGUUUUGUGACACUUUUAAAAUUAAUGGCAUUUCUGAUGACGCCAUUCGCCUUUGGUUAUUCCCUUUUCCAUUGAGAAACAAAUCUAAACAUUGGUUGAACUCGUUACCACGAGGGUCAAUCACUACUUGGGAACAAAUGACCGAAAAGUUUUUAUUAAAAUAUUUUCCACCGGCUAAAAUAGCCAAAUUACGUAAUGAUAUCUUCUCUUUUGUGCAGAUGGAUUUAGAAACACUCUACGAUGCAUGGGAGAGAUACAAGGACCUUUUGCGAAGAUGCCCUCACCAUGGGUUACCACUCUGGCUACAAGUUCAAACAUUUCACAAUGGCCUGAAUCCUUCGACUCGGCAGAUGAUUGACGCAGCCGCUGGUGGAACUAUCAAUAAUAAGAUACCUGAAGCGGCUUACAAAUUUAUUGAGGAGAUGUCACUAAAUAACUAUCAGUGGCAAGUUAUGAGGACAAAGCCGACGAAGGUAGCCAAUGUUUUCAACCUUUAUGCGGUUACUAUGCUAUCUAACCAAGUAGAACUCUUAAAUAAAAAGAUUGACUGUUUGUGUGGUUCUAUUUAGGUACAUCCUGUGAUGAGGUGCGAUUCAAAUGGAGGAAGAGCAUGCACAAAAUAUCAACCCUUCAACCCUAGUAUCAAGGACGAACAAGUCCAAUAUAGGGGUAACAAUAACUCUAGACCCUAAAAUAACCCGUAUAGUAACACUUAUAAUGCAGGUUGGAGGAACCAUCCUAAUUUCUCGUGGGGCGGUCAAGGAAAUCAAAGGCCACAACAUCCUCUGAGUUUUCAACAACCACCUUACCAGUAGGAAAAGAAGCCGAACCUUGAGGAGAUGUUAACAAAAUUCAUCUCGGUGUUAGAAACUUGUUUCCAGAAUAUUGAGACAGCCCUUAAGAAUCAACAAACGUCAAUCCAAGGGCUCGAAACUCAAAUAGGCCAACUUGAUUUUUGAACGACCACAAUGUAGUUUGCUGAGUAACAACUAUUCAAGAUGAGGAAGGGUUAGUUGCACCUGAACCAGAACCGAGGCAAGAAAUUGUGGUAAGUAAAGGUAAAGGUGAGGUAGACCACAAUGACCAGAAACCGGUACGUAAAGAAUACAAACCUCGUGUGCCAUACCCAAAUGCGACAAAGAAAGACCGCACAGAAGAACAAUUCGGUAAAUUCCUAAAAUUAUUAAAAAAAUUACAUAUUAACUUACCGUUUAUUGAAGCUCUUUCGCAGAUGUCAAACGCAGUCAAAUUCUUAAAGGAGCUUUUAAAAAAUAAACAGAAGUUGGAUGAGGCGUCGCAUGUGGAGUUGAAUGCAGUUUGCUCAGCCAUUCUACAGAAUAAGCUACCCAAAAAAUUGAAAGACCCAAUGCGUUUUAUGAUUCCUUGUUUAAUUGGUAGUUUAGAUGUUCAUAAUGCAUUGGUUGACUUAGGGGCAAGCAUUAAUGUUAUGCCUUAUAAAAUGUUUAAACAGUUAGGUUUUGGGAAACCCAAACAAACUAGGAUGAGCAUUCAAUUGGCUGAUAAAACCAUUAGAUUUCCUAAGGGUAUCAUUGAAGAUGUUCUUGUUAAGAUCGAUAAAUUUUUAUACCCAGUAGACUUUGUUGUUCUAGACAUGGAAGAGGAUAGUACGCACCUCUGAUUUUAGGACGAACAUUUUUAGUGAUUGCUAGGAUAAUUAUUGAUGUUGGCACAGGUGAACUCACACUUCGUGUAGGAGACGAAACAAUCACCCUUUAAUCUCGUAAUUCGAGUAACACAUCGAAAAUUGAAGGCGAUUGUAUAAAUCAUCCUACUAAAACUGACCAUGUGGUGCAACCUACUUUGCAGGAAAUAAGUUCGAAAAACCUACACGAGUCGUGUUCAAGCAACAUCACAGGACCUAUCUAUGAAGAACGAAGGCUACAAAUCGAUGAGCUAGAUGAAUGGUGGAAACAAAAAUCGAGAACACCCGAUAAACCAAAAUCGAGCCAUGACGAGCUCAAUGUCGCACCAAAUCAACUUAAAGUUGGAGACAAAGUACUACUAGAUGCAGAAGAUCCUCGCAUUACCACUUCUGAACCUAAUGAAGAAAUUACUCUUACGGUACUCAGUAUUUUCCCAUAUGGUACAGUCAAGGUAAUUCAUCCCAAAUUCAGCACCUUUAAGGUAAGCAAUACUCGUCUUAAACCUUAUACUGAUAAAAUUGAUAGAAGGGAUGAGUGUAAACUCCUCGCACCACCUUGACCAUGCAGAAGAGAGGUAAGUCCAGCUUAAGACUAUAAAUAAGCGCUUCUCGGGAGGCAAACCGAGCACUAACAGUAAUGAUUUAUUUAAAUUCUAGCUUUUCACAUCUAAUUUACUAACUAAAUCUUAAAAUACGGGGUUUUUCACUCCAGACAGCCAGGAAUACGGGCUUGCCUUAGGUCGUGCUCACACCAUAGAAGGAGACAUGGCCGUGCGAUACGAUCGUGUGAAAACAGGGUAAGAUUUUUCCCCAACACGGGAUGCGACACGCCCGUGCCAUCCACCCGUGGUCGACACUGUCAAAACGAACACGGAUGUGGACCUAAGAACACGAGCGUGGGAGAAGCGAAUGAAGAAAGACAUGACCGUACGACACAACCAUGUGCACCCACACGUCCAAGCAACACGGGCGUGGGCCGAAUGUCAGACACGCCCAAAUUCAAAAUUCGUGAAACACACGGGCAAAAAUUAGGCCACAUGGGCGUGUCCCACUGUCGUGUGCCCUAAAAUCUAUAUAAACCCCUCACUAUUCAUCAUCUCCCUCCCCAAAAAUCCCUAACCCUAGCCGCUGCAACUUCACACGCCCUACCCCCACGUCCGUGCGCCGUCUACAACACCGAUUCUGACGCACCAAGCUCUUUCCUUUUGCGUUUGUUUACUCUUUUCUCUCUAUUUUUCUUUAAAUAUGUUGCUUAUUUCAUGAUUUCUCUGCUCUAUUGAACUAUUUUGAAUGAAUAUUCAUAGUUAGAAUAUUAAAAUACUCAUACUUGUUUUAUAAAAAUUUUGUCACUUUAGUUACUACAUUAUGUUAUACUCUUUCAUUUUUCCUUGUUUCCAUAAAAUUUAUGCUUACCCACAUGCAUUCAUUCAUAUUCCCAUUACAUUAUUCCCAUAAUCAUAUAACUUGAUAUAUUUAGUUGUUUUAGUUUGUAUCAUCUAGUACGUAAAUCUCAUGAAAUAUUCAUAUUUAGUCUUGAUUUUCCAUACUAUUCUAGGGGCAUAUUGGUUAAACGUCGAUUUUUUUUCACUGCAGAUAUACUAUGUCAUCCUCACGAGGAAAGAAAACUGUUGUCCUCGCCUCCAAGAAAAGAAAAGGAGAAGCGUCAUCCUCUGGUCCUACCGCGGAGAUUCGCCACCCGUUCCUCUAGGUUCCCUUGGGAACCUAGGAGGAAUUAUAUCAGAUAUUAUGGGCCCAACCCCUAGGUGUAGGUCGCUGCAUUGACUGGGCCACACUUGAACAGAUUCAUUUGGCUGACGCGGUCUGAGCCCUCCUAACGACUGACCUGUGGGGGCUCUUCUUGAGAUUGUCGAGCCAAUGUAUCUCAUGUUCACAGUGGAACUCUGCUCGACGUUCCAUCUUCAGACCGUCAUGACCAACUUCGAUGAUCCAGGAACGGUCCAGUUCCACCUAUCGGACCCUCUGUAACUCGACUAGCUUGGCACUUUGGGCUCCUCAACACAGCAGCACAAUCAUCCUCCCUCACCCUCAUCUGCCAAAUGUCCCCACAGGGCAUCUCGAGCAUGAUAAGUAUGAGAAUGAUCGAGAAACGACGUGCCACCUACCCUCCUCAGUACCGCCUCAUCCAGUCCACCGAGGGGGAGGAUCCAGAGGACAUUACUGAUGAUGUCCCUCCACGUCAUGAAGACCCACCGUCUCAGCCACCACCCCCCUCUCAUCUAGUUCAUGCGGCAGCUUCAUACGCUGACAUCUCUAAACGCCUUACUCGAUUCGAGCAGUAGUGUUUUCAGCGCUUCGAUAACAUUGAUGCUACUCUACAGCAGAUUUUCCAGCACUUCCACAUCUCAUCGCCACCCCCACCUCGCGAACCAUCUAGCGAUGAAGAUGUUUAAAAACUUUUAUUUAUUAUUUUAUGUUUUUACUUUUAUUUUAUUUGAAGACUAUUUUUUCUUUUUCUUUAAGCUUAUUUUUAUUAGGUUUUAUAAUUAUUAUUUUACAAUUUUUAAUUUCGGCUAUUUCAUUAUAGUAAUUAUUCUUCUUUAUAUAUUCCCUAAAAAGUUCCUGAUUCUAUCACAAUUAUAAAGAGCUACAAAGCUCACUAUUACUUAGGAACUUGAAACUCCACUGGGUAAGGUUCUCCACGACUGCCAUGCCUUGCUCGACCAUGACCAUAGCUACCAUGAGAUAUAAUAUUCUUUUGGCGCAACACUUGUGGAACCUAACCUCUACCACCACCGGAGUAUCCUCCUCCACGCUCAUUAGUACCUUGGCCGAUUACUUUCCAAAACGCCAAUUCAAGGAAUCCAUUCAUAACUCAAGACGUUUCAUUUUGUUCCCUAUCUUAUGAUCUUAUAUUUACAUUUUUCAGUAUAUCUAUCUUUGUACAUUGAGGACAAUGUACAUCAUAAGUGUAGGGGGUUAUUUAUUUCUUUAUCAGAAAAAUCCAUGAUUUCUGUCUUAUUCUCAUGUGAUCUUCUCAUAUCAUUGUUAGAAUGAAUUUUGAUUAAUUUAUGAUUUUUAUUGAUAUGUCUUGAAUUAAAAUAUAGGCAUUCAUGCAUUGAUUUUUUAAACUUUAAGACAUUAUAGAAUCAAGCAUGAUAAGUUGAUUUUGAAUUUAAAAUUUUAUAAGUUGUUUUUCCCAAGUUUAGGUAUUAUCUUGAGUUGAAAUUCACAGGUUUAAACAUCAAAAAGCCCUAAUUUUUGUGAGAUUUUGAACCUUUAGAGCAUCUAUUAUUCCUUUCAUGCUCUCCUUUAUUGUUGCUUUGAGUGCGUCAUUAUUGAAUUGUUAUUCUAGAACUUACUUGAUUAUGCAUGCAUGUCAAGACCACACCAUUUGAUUUGAUAUGUCAAGAUGAUAAAGGCACUUAGGUUUAACCCACUCACUCUACAAAAACCUACCUUCAUAAUUAACCUUUAGUGAACCCCUUUGAGCCUAACAAACCAUUAAUUGAUUUACCCUCAAUAUUAACCCAUAACCCAUUAUUGUUGAAAUCCCCUAAUUUGAUCCCUAUUUUUGUCGAGAUUUGAUUUGAACUAAUUGCUUAGCUAUGUUUUGCUCUUCUAUGCAUUUGACUUGUUCUGAAAAAAAUGAGUGUACUUCAAUACAAAUUAGUUGUAAUUCAUCGUUUUUGAACUUGAAUGUUAAUUCCAUAUUCUGAGAAGAAGCUCACAUGUAUUCAACUGAUGACUAGUCAUUUUUCUAGAUAGGUAAUUUUUUAAUUCAAUCUUGAUUCUAAACUUUUCUUUCAGCUUGUCACCACACCCCCAAACCAAAGCCACAUUACAACCCUCUAAAAGACCUUUUUGAUUGAUGUAUCAGCUCAAUAUAUAGUGGUGGAGAUUUGAUUUUCAAGCAAGCCUAUGGUAAUAACUUUUCAUAUUGACUAAUGAGUGAUUUAAUUGAUGUCCUUAAAAACCUUGAGUGAUUUGAGUGAAUCUUUAGUGAGGAUGUUAAACUCUGUGGUAUUUUGAUCAAAGGUAAUCACUUAAAUGAGGGGAGACACCUAUGUUUUCGUGAUAAAAUGCUCAACUUGGAAUGUUUGAAACUUUGAUAUACUUUUAGUUGAAUUUUCAAUGUACAAAUACUUAUGGAUUAUUUUGAGAUAUUAUUGAUAGGGAUUAUAAAUUGAGAUGAAUUUAUUUUGAUUGUGAGCUGAGGAUUUUUCUUGAGGACAAGCAAAUGCUUAAGUGUUGGGGUAUUUGAUAAACCGUAAUUUAUACAUAUUUUUACCCCAUGCUUAACACAUUUUAUGGAUGAUUUCUAUUUAAAUAUGGGGAAUUUGAUGCUCUAAUCCUUUAAUUUCAUGUUUUAUAUUUAGAUGAGCAUAGGAGAGUAAAAGGACCAAGAAAUGGGCCAAAAAUGGAGAAAACGGGCCAACAUGGGAAAUUAGCACGGCCUAGAGUUCACCACACAGGUAGACCACACGCCCGUGUAGGUUCAACAGGCUCUAGCACGGCCUGAACCUCCGCACACGAGUUGACUACACAGCCGUGUCAAAUUGGUAAGAUCGUAGCACAACUUACACAGGUAGAUCACACGCCCUUGCCCAUUUAACAGCCUUAACCACGGCCUUAAGUAAUCGCACACGGGCAUGUCCCUGCUGAGCCCAAGUUUAGUCCAAUUCGGUAAAGGGCACUUUUGAGGGCUUCUGAGCGUCCUAAAGCCUAUAAAAACACCCUAGAAGAGGAGGACAAAGAGGGACGCAGAGUAGGAAGCAAGGAAUUACUCAAGGAAAGCUGAUUGAACCAUUUCAGAAGCUGGAUUCUUCACAAGACUGAAGAUCUCCCUUCAAAUUCCCUCAAGAGUUUUGGGUUUUCUUAUGUUUUGUUAUCUUUAUGCUUUUGAGAUGUUUUCUUUCAUAAGUAUGAACUAAAACCCCUAAAUACCUAAGGGGAAUGAAACCUAAGACGAAUCUUGUUAUUAUUAUCUGAAUUGUAUGAUAAAUAUUUGACUUGUUCUUAAUUAUGUGUUCUUAAUUCUGGUUUUGAUAUUCCAGGAUAUUGAUUCAAGUUAUUGCUUUUAUUUAGAGGAGGAAGAGACCCUGUCUAAGAGUAAAUUUGUCGUAAUUAAGCGGAGUUGAUUGCAUGCCUAGAGAUAGAGUGACAAGAUUUUUUCGGAUUAGGGUGAAACCUAAUAAGGGAAUCCAUAGAUCGAGUUAAUGCAAUUCUAGGAAGUUAAUUAGAAAGAGAUUUCAAUUAUUCAACCUAGGGUUAGACGUUAUUAGUCUCGAGAGAGAUAAUAAAAUAACUUAGGGAUUUCUACGGAUCAAGUCAAAUGAAUAAAUUGUCUGAUUCAGAGUCAAAUAACAAGUGAAGUCUCGGUGGUGUAGCAUAAUCAUAUAUAGUGCGCGGAGUAGGAUUUUGAUUAACAGCAAUCGCAGGAGGUACCGGAUUUUCUUAGUUUUCAGCCAUCUCCACAGUGGUGGUUGAAGUAUCUUUCUCUUGAUCCUCUAUGUAACGUAAGCUUCACCUUAUUUCUCUUUGGUUUUUGCGAAUUGUGCGAUCGAUCUCACUACCAAAAAGUAAUGGUCCUGACGGGUUUUUUCUAGUCAUAAACUAUAAGAACCUGCUAGAAAAAGGGAAAAAGAAGAAUUAGUAAUAAAAAUUAGAAAUAAAUUUAAAUUGCAGUAAAAAUAAAUCGCUAAAGUAAUAAAAAUCGAGUGUUCCUAAUAUCUUAGUUCCCCGGCAAUGGCGCCAAAAACUUGAUACGUGAUAUUCGUGACAAUUUUUAAAUAUUUAUGAUGAAUCAUUCUUGAAACUAACUAUUAUCACGAUGAAGGCAAGUGUACCUAUCGAAUAGUAGUAUAGCUUUAGCAAGACCGGAUUGUCGAACCCGAAGGAACUAAAAGUACUAGUAAUGACUGUCUUUUUAUGAUCUAGCCUAAGAAUAAUGGUGUUUGUUUUAGCUAACAAAUUAACUAAACUAAGAAUUCACAGAAAAUAGAAUUGGGGAAUUACUUUUGGAAAAACAAUUGAAUUAAGAAAAUACCUAAGGAAAAAUCCACCUAGACUUCACUUGUUAUUUGACUCUGAAUCGGACGAUUUACUCAUUUGACUUGACCCGUAGAAAUCCCUAAGUUAUUUAUUAUCUCUCUCGAGAUUAACAACGUUUAACCCUAGGUUAAAUAAUUGAAAUCCCUUUCUAAUUAACUCCCUAGGGUUGCACUAACUCGAUCUAUGGAUCCCCUUAUUAGGUUACACCCUAAUCCGGCAAAAUCUUGUCACCCUAUCUCUAGGCGCGCAAUCAACUCCGCUUAAUUAUGACAAAUGUAAUCUUAGACAGAGUCUAUUCCACCUCUGAAUAAGAGCUUAACUUGAAUCAAUAUCCUGGAAUAUCAAAACAAGAAUUAAGAACACAUAAUUAAGAAUAAGUCAAAUAUUUAUCAUACAAUUCAGAUAAUAAUAACAACAUCUAUCUUAGGUUUCAUUCCCCUUAGGUAUUUGGUGUUUUAGUUCAUAACCAAAAAGGUAAACAUCUCAGAAGAAUAAUGAAUACAAAACAUAAAGAAAAACCCAAAACUCCUGAAGGGAAAUUAAGGGGAGAUAUUCAGUCUUUGAUGAUGAAUCCGGCUUCUGAGAUGGAUCAAUCGGCUUUCCUUGAGCAGUUCCCUACUUCCUCCUCUCUGCCCCCCUUUUCCCCCUCCUUUAGGGUGUAUUUAUAGGCUUUGGAAUGCAUAAGAACCCUCAAAAUUGGCCUUUUCUGAAUUAGACUCAACUUGGGCUCGACAGGGGCACGCCCGUGUGCGAUUACUUCAGGUCAUGGUCAAGACUGUUAAAUAGGCACGGGCGUGUGGUCCACCCGUGUGAGUCAUGCUUCGAUUAUGCCAAAUAGACACGACCGUGUGGUCUGCCCGUGUGAGGAAGUCCAGGCCGUGUUGAUUUCGUAUGUUGGCCCAUUUCUCUUUCCUUUCACUCUCCUAUGCUCUCCUAAGUAUAAAACAUGAAAUUAAGGCAUUAGAAGCAUCGAAUUCACCAAAUCUAAGGAAAAAUCAUCCAUAAAAUGUUCCAAGCAUGGGAUAAAAAUACGUAUAAAUUACGGUUUAUCAGCCCUCAAAAAUGGACUUUCCGAAUAGGACUCUGCUUGGGCUCGACAGGGACACGCCUGUAUGACACGCCCGUGUACGAUUACUUCAGGCCAUGGUCAAGCCUGUUAAAUAGGCACGAGCAUGUGGUCUACCUAUGUGAGUCGUGCUUCGAUUCUGCCAAAUUGACACGGCCGUGUGGUCUGCCCGUGUGAGGAAGUCCAGGCCGUGUUGAUUUCGUAUGUUAGCCCAUUUUGUCCAUUUUUGGCCCGUUUCUCGUUCCUUUCACUCUCCUAUGCUCACCUAAGUAUAAAACGUGAAAUUAAGGCAUUAGGAGCAUCGAAUUCACCAAAUUUAAGGAAAAAUCAUCCAUAAAAUGUGCUAAGCAUGGGAUAGAAAUAUGUAUGAAUUACGAUUUAUCAUUUUACACUCAGGAGAGCUUAGAAUAGCAAAAAGAGCAAGAAACGGGCCAAAAACGGACAAAUUGGGCUUAAAACAGUGUUUCACACGGCCUAGGCACUUCCACAUGGGUAAACCACACGCCCGUGUGAGGCACACGAGCAGACCACACGCCCGUAUGUCAUGGUCGUGUCGACUAGAAACCAACUCAGAAUUACACACAGCUUAAGCAAUUGCACACGGGCGUGGUACACGACCGUGUCUCUGUCGAGCCCAAGUCUAGUUCUACUCUGAAAUGGCCAUAUUUGAAGGUUUAAAAGUAUUCUAAAGCUUAUAUAAACACCCUAGAAGAGGAUUAUUAAGGGGACAUAGAGCCAGAGGCAGAAAAUAUUCGAGAAUAGCCGUCGAAAUCACUGCGGAGAUAGGAUUUACAUCAAGAUUGAAGAUUUCCAUCCAAUUUCCUAGAAGUUCUUUAGGUUUCUUUAUGUUUUGUUGUAAUCUAAACUUUGAGAUGUUUUCCUUUAUUAUUAUGAACUAAACUCCCUAAAUACCUAAGGGAUAUGAAACCUAAGACGAAUCUUAUUACUCUUUGAUUUAUAUGAUAAAUAUUUGUUCUUAUUCUUAAUUGUGAGUUUAAUUCUUGUUUUAAUAUUCUAGGAUAUUAAUUCAAGUUUUUGAUGUGCUUAUUCAGUGGAGAAAAAGUCCCUGUUUAAGAGUAGAUUAUUCAUAAUUAAGCUGAGUUACAUGCAAUCCUAGAGAUAGGACGACAUAAAUCUACCGGAUUAGAGUCAAAUCUAAUAAGGGAAUCCAUAGAUCGAGUUAAUGCGACAAUAUGGGUUUUAAUUAGAAAGAGAUUUCAAUUAAUCAACCUAGAUUCAAUUGUUUUUAGUCUCGAAAGGGAUAUUAACAUAAAUCAGGGAUUUCUACGGAAUAAGUCAAGUGAAUAAAUUGUCUAAGUCAAAGGUAAUAAGUGAAAUCUAGGUGGAUUCUUUCUUGGGUAUUGUCUUCUCCAUUGGUUUUUCUAAAGUAUUUUCCAACUUUCAUCUCUGUCAUAAUCUUAGAAAAUUAGUUUAGUUUAAAAACACCCUUUAAUUCUUAGAGUAGAUAAUAAAAAGAUAGUAAUUACUAGUACUUUUAGUCCUCGUAGAUACGAUAUUUCCGGUCUCACCAUAACUAUACUACUGUUUGAUAGGUGCGCUUGCCUUAAGUCAAAUAUUUAGUUAGUUUCACGAUCAUUAGCCGAAGUUCGAUAAGCGUAGAGGGUAAAUGGUAACUUCUUUAUGUCAAUCUUUACAAGUCUCGGUCGCCUUUCACUAUGAUCUUUUUUUUAUUCUUCUUUUUAUUUUUAUUUUUUUUUGUACUUUUGUUUUUCUAUUUGGCAGCCCUUUGCUGCAUUGUGAUAUGGUGUCUGAUCUUUGAAUAGACUGCAAGCUUUUGACAUUGUGCAGUUGUAUUAAAUAUGAUUCUUUUUGACACUUGUCGGUACUUGAUUUUUUUUUGGUUGGUUUUUUCUUUUGGACUUUGAUAACUAUCGACUUGGUAACAUUGGCAUACGAAGUGACCUUCACCCUCUUCAUGAAGUAAUCGACGACUGCCAAGAUGAAUCAAUGUAUAUUAGAGGAGAAUGGCCUGAUAACAUCCAUGCCCCACAUAGAGAAAGUUUGUGAAGAAAUGAAUAAGGCACAUGAAUCUUGUCUCCCUAAAUACGGUCUAACUGAUACAAUUCCCUUCCAUGGUGGAUCAACAGUACCCGAACCUCAUGAUUAGCAUGGAUACCUGAAACCAUUAACAUGUGUCAUUCUAACACCCGUAUAGACAUUUUUUAGUGUCCAUAGGUCUUAAUAUCCCAGGUAUAUCUUGAUAUGAUUAUGUGAAAACAUCUUUGAAUUCUUGGAAUAACUCAAUGACAAUUCGCUUUGUCUUUGCGGUGACUCAGGCUUCGAUCUUUGCCUCUUACUCACAAUGUCCACUGACCCUUUUUAGAGUAGGAUCUGUUUUUCAUCUUAUUCUAUCGUCCUUAACAAAUCAGGAGAUAAGUCACAAUCUCUGUCAUCUUCAAAAUCUUGAGAUCCCCCUAAACACAUAUCUUACCCAAAAGGAGACUUUGAGUCAGUGACAGCAUCGCUCACGUCAUUAAUAUCUGGGGACCUAUUAUAGGUACGAAGGCAGAUUCCAAAGAAUAAAUGAUUCUAAGGAUGAUUAUUUGUAUGGUAUGAUCAUGAAUGAAGAAUAAAAGCAUAUUAAAAGACAGUCUAAAGAACAAAAUAAUAUAUAAAGAAUGAAAGAAUAUUUGCUCAAAAAGAUGCAUUUUAUUGAAAUAAAUAUUUUGAACACAAGCCUAUUUCACAAAAGGGUUCUUAUUGCUUCUAGGUUUAAAGCAACAAGCAUGUUUUGAAUAUUACUCUAGAUUAGCUCUAAAAAAAUAGGGAUCUCUUUUACAGUUCCAUUGUUCGAAACACUCCCAAAUAUACAAGGGUUUGGAAAUUUUUAUUCCCCGGUUCCCUCUUCAGAUAUGUCAUUCAGAUUCCCCGAUAUUCUUUCCAAGCUUUUGACUUGUUCAAGGCAUCGCAACUCUUUUGCCCCCACCUUCAAAUAUCACAUUUACUUCCUUGUCAGAGUGAUUAGGUUUAGAGGAAUCGUUGAACUUCACAAUUCCCAUUUCAAUGAACCUUUCGACCAACUUUUUAAAUGUAGGGCAGUUUUCAAUUGACUGCCCCGUUAUUCUCGCAUGGUACUCGUAUUGAGAAUUCUCAUUAUACCAUUUUGGGAACAGAGGUUGCACGGGUUCCAAGUAGAAAGGGGACACCACACGCACAUAAAAAAUAUUCUGAUACAAAUCCUUAUAUGACAUAGGUAUAGGUGUAAACUGGAGCUUUUCUAUAUUUGGCCUCGAGUUAGAUUCCUACCUUGAAAAGCCUCAAUAGCUAGUGGUUACAGCCCUUGACUGGUCUAUGCUGACCAAUUUGAAAGGCAUGCUCACGAUGUUCACUUCAUUCUCCUUGUUUCUCGGGGUUGACCUUUUAGCGCUUUCUCCCAUACCUAUCUUCCCACUUCUUACCGCAUUUUCAAUCAUCUCACCGGAUAUUACUAUAUCUAAAAAUCUCAAAGUAGUUCUUCCCAACAUAUGGUUAAUGAAUGGGGCUUUCAGAUUAUUAAUGAAAAGCAUUGUGGUCUCCUUUUUCCAGAAGAGGCGGUUGGACCUGUGUUGCUACCUCUCUCCAUCUUUGGGAAUAUUGCCUGAAACUCUCAUUUUGCUUCUUUUUUAUAUUCUGCAAGGUAAUUCUGUCAGGUGUCAUGUCUAUUACAUGGUUGUACUACUUCAUAAAAUCUUGUGCUAAGUCCUUCCAUGAAUUGAUUUUAGCACGACUCAAUUGAUUGUACCAUUUAGCUACUGACCUGAUCAGACUGUCUUGGAAGCAAUGGAUUAAUAGUUGGUCAUUAUUAACAUAUCCUGUCAUCCUUUGACAGAACAUUGUGAUGUGAGCUUCAGGACAACUAGUCCCAUUGUACUUUUCAAACUCUGGAAUCUUAAAUUUCGGCGGGAGUACUAGAUCAUGGACCAAACUCAGAUCCUUGGUGUCAAUCCCACAAUAAUAGUCAACAUUAUCCAUUGCCUUAAAAUUUUCCUCCAACCACCUAUAUCGAUCCUUGAGUUGUCUUGGCAAUUCCAUCUUUGCUUUUUCCAUUUCAUCCAGAUCAGAAACUAUAGGAGUGGUUGGAUUGCCACCUGGAUUGAAACUUGAGCCUAUCGGGUAAUUCACAGGUGCUGAGGUACCGGCUUGAUAUUUCUAGGUUCUAAUAAUAGGUACACCUUGCGGAGAUGUCUGAGCAUUUGCCGAGGUGAAACCUAGAGGGUAAAGAGGCCCUACAUUGUCCUCCCCAACAUUGAUAAUAAAGCUUUUUCCUUUUCCUAGCCCCUUAGUCAGCAAUUAGGACAACUGAUUCAUCAUAUUCCUUUGGGACUCUAGCACUUGGUCACUCAUAUCUUACCUUAUCUUCGCCAGUUGCUCUUGCAUUUGCAUUUGUAACUGGUCUUGCAUCUCUAUUUGAAAUUGUUCAAGUCUUUCCAAUCUUUGGUCCAUAUCUUUUGUCUUAGCACAAGUACCGUAACGAUGCUUGGUUGGUAAGUUUUUAUCGGUUUCCAGAUUAACUGAAAUGAUUUAAAUUAAUUAGGGUCCUUUCUGUGAAAAUCUAAUGCAAAUGAUGCAAUGCAAAUGCAUGGAAUGAAUGCAAAAGAAAGAAAGGCAUUGAUUCUAAAUUCAAUUCUAUUAGAACAACUUUUCUAGAAAACAAAUUCCUUUACAUCAAACGGAUUACAUAUGCGGCCCUGCCCUCAAAUUCCAGGCGAAGACACCGAUCCAUUUCUUUCGUAAAAGUCAAAUCUCGCAAACUUCCAAUAGAUGCCUCCACUAGCUCCUUUUUGCUUGAUCUAGGCCGCAACUUAUUACUCACUUAUCCUCGCGCUGCUUGUUAGCUCCUUUAAGAAAGUCGGGAUGUGACGGCUCUUGAAUAAUCUUUAUCGGCUUGAAUCCUCGGGCAAUAAAACAAAGUAUUGUUUUCCUCCGUGAACUAUCAGCCUUCCUUCGUUGUAUUUACUUGGACUAUAUUCAGACAACCGCAUUAUAAUCCACUUUAUCAAGAAAUUCAUUUUCCAUGACAAGCUAUUCAAUCAACACCUUCUUUCUAUGAUGAUGUAAUGCAAUGCAAUCAUAAACAAAACAAAAACAAAACAUGUUAGUACAGAAUAAAUAAAUAACAAAGCACCUACUCGGGUGACCACUAAAUUUGGGCACGGUUCUACCUAAGGUGAACUCUGAAGGUUCACUAUAUGCAGUACAGUUCUAAAGAAAGGGUACCUGAACCAACAGAUUCCUCGAUCCUCACCCAUUAUAGGCUCAAAUGGAUCAAGUUCAAAUUAGGGGAAUACAUUUCCUAUGGCCAUGCGGAGAUGAAAAUCUCACGAAGACAUAGGUACGGAUGUAUCCCGGAAGUAAUCCACUAGCCUAUGCGGAGAUGAAAACCUCACGAAGGCAUAGUUUCUCACUCCCACUUAAAAGGUGUGACCACAACGAUAAUGCAACGUAAUGCAAGAGUAUUCUACUAGAUCCAAACAACAGCAAUAAUGGAGAUCACAAAAAAAUGCAACAAAAGAAUCGUGAUUUUUCAAAUCAAACUUCCAAUUUUUUGACAAAAGGACAGAAAAUAAUCAAUUUUACAGCCUGACUCUCUUAUUGGUCCCCAGUGGAGUCGUCAAGCUGUAGAAACCAAUUUUUUAUUUUUAAAAACAGGGAUCGACUUUAAAACGAGGUAUGGAGUCGCCACCAAUCCUUUUUGUUUAGGUGUGAUCGGAUCACCUAAUAAAACAUUUAAUUUUAUUAAAAUAUCAAUUUAGCCUACGAAAUUUGAGAAAACGGGUUCGGGACUCGGUUACGUACAAGGAAGGAUUAGCACCCUCAUUUCGCCCAGAAUUGGCACCAAAUUGAUUAAAUAAUGUCCUUAUGUCUAAAAUUUAAAAAUAUUUUGAAAUACGAUUUCUUUUAAAACAUUUGAAUAACUAAAAUUGGACUUUAAAAUUCUCUUGUUUCGAAGGAAUACAAUAUCACAUCCUGCACAUUAAGACAUGAUCCUUUAAACCCUCGAAACCACGAUCAAUUCUUAAUUUCCAGAAGCUCAUACAUUUGAAAAUUACAUAAUGAUAUUCGAUUAUUUGGUCCAAUGAAAAAUCGAAACCCAACACGUUAGGGCACGAUUUCUCGGAUUUCCAAACAUAGAACAUUGCCUUGUUUUAAAAUUUAGAAAACACGGACGAAAUUUUAAAGGGAUAUUUGAUUAUUUUUGACAAACAGAAAAUCGAAACCCAGCACUUUACGGCACGAUUUCUCAAAUUUCCAAACAUCAAAUAUCGCAUUUGUUUUAUAAAACUGGCUCAAAACGCAUUAGUUUGACUUGAAAUAAAAUGGAAUAAUUAAUUUUGGAUCAAUAAGUUGAAAUUUUCAAUUGUAAUGUGACACUCGUGAAUGAAAGGCGAAAUUAUAAGCAUGGGACAAUAUACGUGAAUAAUGUACUAUACUUAGUGAAUGAAAAUAGCAUAAACAUAAAAACGAAUUAACAAACACGGAAUAGCAACGAGCUCACAUCCUAUUUUGAAAAACAUAAAUAAUCAAAAGAAUGGAAACUAAAAUACAACUCAUCAAAGAAACAUAUUAGAAUAAAAUAUAACAAAUUUUGAAACAUAGAUGAAUAACAAUUGAACUGAUAAUACAAAGGAUGAAUAAACAAUAUGCAAUAGUAAUAUAUGAAAUAAUAUGAAAGCUAAAAAAUAACACAUAAUAUACGAAGCAAUAUGGAAACUAGGAGUUAAUAUAAUGUAAAACCAUUCAAAAACUAUUAAAUAUAUGAAAAAUUUUAAAAUGAAUCACACAUGCUAGGGAUUGAAAUAAUUUACAUAUAAAUAUAUCAAUGAUUAUUGAAAUAUUAUGAACGAAGAAACUUGGAUCAAAUAAUGUACAAAAUAUAUUUUGAAAAUGAAACAUUUAUUUAAAGUUGACAAUAUACGUACAAUAAAAGAUAAUUUAAAUAAUAUAUAAAAUAUGAAAGGUUUUUAAAUAACAAAAAUAUAUAAUAAAAUAUGUUCUUAAGGAAUUAACUAUAUACAUAAUAGAUUUUAAAAUAUAUAUAUAAAUAUAUUUAAAAGAAAUUAUAUAUAUAAAAUAACAUGGAAUUAAUAAUGUAUAUAGAAUAAAACUAACUUUAUCAUGAACUAUAUAUGUAUAAUAAUAUAUAGGGACCUUUAAAUGAAAUAUUAUACAAAAUUUUGAAACAAUAUAAUAUACAAGAAUGUUUUAAAAUAAUAACGAUAUAACUUAAAAAAAUAAAAAAAAAAACAAAUGCAAGUAAAAUACCAAAUUGAAAUGAAGUAAAAAUAAUUAAAGUAAUUCAAAAUAUAUAUUUAAAUAAUUCUUAAAAGAAAUGAAUGCUAAGUAAAUAAGGAAAUAAAAAAAAUUACAUAUUGAAAUGAAAGAAAAAACUCAAUUGAAAUAAAAUCAAACUUAAAGGAUAGUCAAUAAAUAAAAUAGAACAUCAAAUUAGAACUAAGGAUCAAAGCACAAUGUGCGCAAAUUCGCAGGGAUUAUAUGUGUAAAUGAUCCAAAUCUCCAAAACGCAGCACUUAGGCGCAGACUAAAUUGUAAUAGCACACAAAUUUCAGGAAAAAUUUAAAAAACAAAUAAAAUGCAGAUAGGGGCUAAUUAAAAGUCGGUGCAAAGGAGAAGGACUAGCCACAAAAUUACCCAUUUGAAGCGCAAGGUGCGGAUCCGGGCUAUGUUGCGGGUUGACGCGCGGAUCCCCCCUUUUCAAACGGUGCCAUUUUAUUCUCAUAAAUAAAGAGAAACAAAAACCCUAAUACACUUAUUCAGCCUACUAUUCUUUCAAAAAGAAAGAAAGAAAGAAAAACUUAAAACCUUUCUCACCAAACUCUUUUAACCUCUCCUCUCUCUCAGUCGAUCCAUGGGCUUCAUCGGCCACUAAUGCACCUCCACCACCGCCACGAUUUUAACCAGAUCCACAAGGAUCUGUCAACCCUUGGAUCGGAGGAGCCAACAUCGACUAAAUCGACACCAAAAACAGUAAGUAAACCCUCAUUUUUUUAGAUUCGUCGAAUAGAUUCAAAAUAAAGGAAAAAAAAAACAAAGAAAUAAUCCAUGAAUCACCUUUUGUAAACUGUUUUUGAAUUAAUUUCUCUUCUUUCAAUAUAUGCGUGUAUCCCCCCCUCCCGUUUACAAUAUACCAUCGGCCCCUUUUAUAACCAAAUAAUCAAAAGAAAUUAAUACAAAUUUCUUUUAUUUUUUUUGUUAUUGCUUUGAUGUGUUUUUUUGUUGUGG
RNAcentral lists this long non-coding RNA (20738 nucleotides) under Gossypium barbadense (sea-island cotton). RNAcentral describes it as "long non-coding RNA (GBAR_LNC001700)". Lineage: Eukaryota; Viridiplantae; Streptophyta; Magnoliopsida; Malvales; Malvaceae. The record is from RNAcentral.